Molecule: long non-coding RNA, 2614 nt
Filed under: Zea mays
Lineage: Eukaryota; Viridiplantae; Streptophyta; Magnoliopsida; Poales; Poaceae
Description: long non-coding RNA (ZMAY_LNC003479)
Source: RNAcentral
GGUACCCCAUGGGAGAGUGCGUGCCAUGUUCCAGAUGCGCACGCUAGCCACAGAUGCAGGACUGACGAUGACUGUGGAAUAGAAGCAAUAACAUGCAAGAAGAGGACCUGCAGUAUGGCUGGCUACUGCGGCUUAUUUUUUUAUAAUGGAAACAAGAGUUCCGGCUUUAGCAUGAUAAUGCGUACAGCCAAUACAAGUCGAUUAUUACAAUUAAGAACUGCUGCAUGAAUAGUGAUACUAACUCAAAGGAACUAAAUUACAAUACUAUGACUAACACUAGUCAUACUCAAUUCUUGAAUUUGAGCGCCAUCCAUGGUUUGCGAAGACUUCCAUCGCCACCACUUCCAAAACUUGCGAAGCAAUGAGGAUUUGUUGUUGCGAUUCCUCCUUUUGUAGCAGUCUCCAGAAUCUUAACCAGUGAGUACAUCUGAAAAUAACCUGCACAAUUGAUGGAAUUGGUUUAUGAUUAAAAGCCACCUCAUUUCGACUGAGCCAAAUAGCCCAAAAUAAAGCAGCUAUUCCAGAGAGUAAAACUUUUUUAUACCCCGGACCCCUAUUUGUUCCCCAAGACCCGAUAAUAUGAUUAAUGCUAACGGGCAUUUCUAAUUUUAAGGCAAAGUAAAUUACUCUCCAUAUGCUUUUGGCCAUAUAACAGUCAAAAAAGAGAUGGUGAAUACUUUCAUUUCGAUUGCAAAAGCUACAUGUCAAGCUACCAUUCCAUCGCCUUUUGGCUAAAUUAUCUUUUAGGGAUGAAAACGAACGGGAACGGUCGGGAAAUACCGUCAACCGUUUCCGUUACCAUAUUUUUUCACCGAAAACGGGAGCGGGAGCGGGACCACUGGUAUCGGUAACGGGAUCGGUAUAUACGGUUGUACGAAAACGAUAAAAAAACGAACGGAGAUAUAACGGAAAUGGACGGUAUUCAGAAAAUAGCCGAAAACAUAAUCGUCCGAAUGAGUCAUGAGUGAGUAGUGGUUGACUGGCUAUCAUGCAUUACCGGUGGCGUGCUGUUUUACCUUACAAUAGUUUUCAAUUUUUAAUUUUAUCCCUUGUUAACCGACACUCACAAACCAGCAUGCUAGAGUAGUAGAGUUCACGUUCAUGGCCUAGUAUGAAAUGGUAUGAAUAAUAGAAAGACACAUAUUUGAUGUGAAUUUGGCUUCUUAGAUAAAUCUAGCGGGUCGCUCGCAAUGGCAGCAUGUCAGCUACGCGAUCGCCAAUAAAUGUUGGGAUGACUUUUUGGGCACAUAUAAAUCCUGAGAACCUGAGAACCUGUUCGUAGAGUGCUGGAUGACGCAUAUAAAUCCCUUUCAUCACUCACAUAUAAAUCCUGAGAACCUGUACAUAGAGUGCUGGAUGACGCAUGGGCGCCAUGGACCAAUGCAAUUUAAGGUUAGCUAAUGGGCUGCGCCAUGGCCCAUGGGUGAUGCUAAUGGGCUGGACCUCUAAUGUAUAAGGAGAUAGGUAUCCCGUGUAAAAUUAUAAACGGGAUAAAACGGGACAAUCCCGGUUAAAUAUGGGAUACCAGAAAUACGGGCGGAAAACUGCCUCAACCGUUUUCGUUCCCGUUCCCAUUAACCCCAUCCCGGUUCCCGUCCCGUUACCAUAUUUUCCCGCAAAUACGAAAACGGUCGGGAUAAAAAGGGAAAACGGUACGGGUCGAGACGGGAUUUUUCCUGUUCGUUUUCAACCCUAUUAUCUUUAGUAAGGAUUGCUCCACGACAUAAAUUCCACAAAAAAACUUUUAUUUUCAAGGGGAGCUUAAGUUUCCAAAGCUUCUUGUUCCGUUCGUUGUUGGGAAUAUUCAUCAACAAAUGGUACAUAGAUUGGACCGAGAAGAUUCCAUUCCUUUGACCGUCCCAAACAAAUUUAUCUCUAGACAGAGACAGAGUAACCUCAGAUAGCAAGUUUAGCAUGUUGUGCCAUUCCACUAAUUUAUUCCCCAUGAUUGUACGUCGAAAAGACAAAUUAAGGUUCGUAUCAGAAAAAACGUAUGCAACCAAGGCAGAUUUGUUACGCACUAUAUUAAAGAGAUUCGGAAAUUGCUCACUAAGAGGUCGACUGGUUACCCAUUUGUCCUUCCAGAAUCUGGUAGCUUGACCAUUUCCCACUUUGAAGUGCCCCCCUCUAAGGAGUUGGUCCUUAAUAUUCAUUAGGCCCGACCAGAAUUGAGAAUCCCCCUGUCUUCUAGAAACUUGAGAAAGAGACUUCUCGCCUAGAUAUUUAUUUUUAAGUAAUUGUUGCCACAUCCCAUCCUCAUUGAGUAAUUUAAAGAGCCAUUUGCUGAGUAAGCUUGUGUUUUUUACAGCUAGAUUAGAGACACCUAAACCCCCUAACUCCUUGGGUUGACAAACGAUAUUCCAUCUGGCCUGCGGCUUAUGGCUGGUGAUUUAUUAGCGUCUCAAGAGCGGGGAUAUUACGGGAGGAUUGAAAUAGCCUCGGCCUAUAACUGUACAAUAGAUUAGUGGGAUCGCUUGAUAGGUUGCCGCAUCUGUCAUUCUAAUUUACCUUUCUGAAUUCGUUUUGUACAUGCCUGCAUUCUGGUGCGGAUUUUGAGCAUUCCAGAGUGUACGUAAAGGAAAUAAAUUUAGGCCCAUUUAGAUUCUUUGAAUUG